GGCUGCAUGGUGUAACGGAAAGCACACAGCGCGCACAUUUGGAGGAACAGGUUCAAGUCCUGUUGCAGCCA
This 71-nucleotide transfer RNA is filed under the name Bacteriophage sp. Its description in RNAcentral is "tRNA-OTHER". It matches the Rfam family "tRNA". From Rfam's summary of the family: Transfer RNA (tRNA) molecules are approximately 80 nucleotides in length. The record is from RNAcentral. RNAcentral also lists the same sequence under 1 other name.